This 116-nucleotide ribosomal RNA is filed under the name uncultured bacterium. RNAcentral describes it as "partial 16S ribosomal RNA". It matches the Rfam family "Bacterial small subunit ribosomal RNA", at positions 1369 to 1482 of the family's 1533-position model. The record is from RNAcentral.
CGUUCCGGGCCUUGUACACACCGCCCGUCAAGUCACGAAAGUCGGUAACACCCGAAGCCGGUGACCCAACCCCUUGUGGGAGGGAGCUGUCGAAGGUGGGACUGGCGAUUGGGACU